Otolemur garnettii (small-eared galago) is the source of this 140-nucleotide small nuclear RNA. Its record names the gene U1. It matches the Rfam family "U1 spliceosomal RNA". Rfam says of the family: U1 is a small nuclear RNA (snRNA) component of the spliceosome (involved in pre-mRNA splicing). The record is from Ensembl. NCBI's taxonomy places the organism in Eukaryota, Metazoa, Chordata, Mammalia, Primates, Galagidae.
AAACUUACCUGGUAGGGGUUUUCUCAGGACAAGGCGUAUCCAUUGCACUCUGGAUAUGCUGACCCCUACGAUUUCCCAAAUGUGGGAAACUCAACUGCAUAAUUUGUGGUGGUGGGGGACUGCAUUUGCACUUUCCCCUG